Molecule: small RNA, 120 nt
Filed under: Sinorhizobium saheli
Lineage: Bacteria; Pseudomonadati; Pseudomonadota; Alphaproteobacteria; Hyphomicrobiales; Rhizobiaceae
Description: Alphaproteobacterial ar14
Rfam family: Alphaproteobacterial ar14
About the family: Smr14C2 was renamed NfeR1 (Nodule Formation Efficiency RNA) highly expressed in salt stress and during the symbiotic interaction on legume roots.
Source: Rfam by way of RNAcentral
GUUUGUGAGCGACCUACUCCUGCUACCAAGGUCGUUCAUAGGAUCGGCACCACUCCUCGUGAGGCUGCUGGGUUCUUUUGGAAAAGCCUGCCGUACCUUCUCCCGCGGCAGGCUUCUUCG